This 447-nucleotide ribosomal RNA is filed under the name uncultured bacterium. Its description in RNAcentral is "partial 16S ribosomal RNA". It matches the Rfam family "Bacterial small subunit ribosomal RNA", at positions 29 to 523 of the family's 1533-position model. The record is from RNAcentral.
AACGAACGCUGGCGGCAGGCCUAAAACAUGCAAGUCGAACGAACCUUCGGGUUAGUGGCGCACGGGUGAGUAACGCGUGGGAAUAUGCCCUUCACUGCGGAACAACGUCGGGAAACUGACGCUAAUACCGCAUAAUGACUCCGGUCCAAAGAUUUAUCGGUGAAGGAUUAGCCCGCGUCUGAUUAGCUAGUUGGUGAGGUAAUGGCUCACCAAGGCGACGAUCAGUAGGGGGUCUGAGGGGAUGAUCCCCCACACUGGAACUGAGACACGGUCCAGACUCCUACGGGAGGCAGCAGUUAGGAAUAUUGGACAAUGGGGGAAACCCUGAUCCAGCCAUGCCGCGUGUGUGAAGAAGGCCUUAGGGUUGUAAAGCACUUUCAGCUGUGAAGAUAAUGACAGUAGCAGAAGAAGAAGCUCCGGCUAAAUUCGUGCCAGCAGCCGCCGCGG